Molecule: non-coding RNA, 84 nt
Organism: Abortiporus biennis
Lineage: Eukaryota; Fungi; Basidiomycota; Agaricomycetes; Polyporales; Podoscyphaceae
Source: the annotation of a GenBank genome assembly
GGCUGUGUGGUCUAAUGGUUAUGACGUCUGCUUCACAUUGUGUGCGUACGCUGAAGGUUCCCGGUUCGAACCCGGGCACGGUCA